Molecule: ribosomal RNA, 231 nt
Filed under: Bacillus safensis
Lineage: Bacteria; Bacillati; Bacillota; Bacilli; Caryophanales; Bacillaceae
Description: partial 16S ribosomal RNA
Rfam family: Bacterial small subunit ribosomal RNA
Source: RNAcentral
ACGCCGCGUGAGUGAUGAAGGUUUUCGGAUCGUAAAGCUCUGUUGUUAGGGAAGAACAAGUGCGAGAGUAACUGCUCGCACCUUGACGGUACCUAACCAGAAAGCCACGGCUAACUACGUGCCAGCAGCCGCGGUAAUACGUAGGUGGCAAGCGUUGUCCGGAAUUAUUGGGCGUAAAGGGCUCGCAGGCGGUUUCUUAAGUCUGAUGUGAAAGCCCCCGGCUCAACCGGG